AGGUUGAGAGAAGAGAGCACAGUUCCUUAGGGGACAACAGCUCCUCAGUUCCUGGUGCCUCCACGAGGGUACAAAGGCAGGAAGCGCAAGGAAUUUUGAAAGGACAGCCAGGAGGAUCCCCCAUCUUCAGAUGUUUUGCAGAAUUUUUGGCGUCAGUGUGAAGCAUCGGAGAAGAGGGGACCUUCACUUCUUGCCAACAGUGGAUCCUCUGCACUGGGCUAUGCAUUAACCCAGAAUUAUCCAGAAACAUGGCUGUUUCUACACCCUGAACAUACCCCAUUCCA
Molecule: long non-coding RNA, 284 nt
Organism: Fukomys damarensis (Damara mole-rat)
Lineage: Eukaryota; Metazoa; Chordata; Mammalia; Rodentia; Bathyergidae
Exons: 3
Source: RefSeq, a predicted model, not a curated record